GGGAGCGACUUGGCUUCGACAGGAGUAAGUCUGCUUAGAUGGCAUGUCGCUUUGGGCAAAGCGUAAAAAGCCCAAAUAAAAUUAAACGCAAACAACGUUAAAUUCGCUCCUGCUUACGCUAAAGCUGCGUAAGUUCAGUCGAGCCUGAAAUUUAAGUCAUACUAUCUAGCUUAAUUUUCGGUCAUUUUUGAUAGUGUAGCCUUGCGUUUGACAAGCGUUGAGGUGAAAUAAAGUCUUAGCCUUGCUUUUGAGUUUUGGAAGAUGAGCGAAGUAGGGUGAAGUAGUCAUCUUUGCUAAGCAUGUAGAGGUCUUUGUGGGAUUAUUUUUGGACAGGGGUUCGAUUCCCCUCGCUUCCACCA
This 359-nucleotide transfer-messenger RNA is filed under the name Campylobacter jejuni. It matches the Rfam family "transfer-messenger RNA". From Rfam's summary of the family: Bacterial tmRNA, also known as 10Sa RNA or SsrA, is named for its dual tRNA and mRNA-like properties. Its role is to liberate the mRNA from a stalled ribosome. Lineage: Bacteria; Pseudomonadati; Campylobacterota; Epsilonproteobacteria; Campylobacterales; Campylobacteraceae. The record is from RNAcentral. RNAcentral also lists the same sequence under 7 other names.